Molecule: ribosomal RNA, 103 nt
Filed under: uncultured bacterium
Lineage: Bacteria
Description: partial 16S ribosomal RNA
Rfam family: Bacterial small subunit ribosomal RNA
Source: RNAcentral
CUUGUACACACCGCCCGUCACACCAUGGGAGUUGGUUGCACCAGAAGUAGGUAGCCUAACCGUAAGGAGGGCGCCUACCACGGUGUGGUCAAUGACUGGGGUG